Molecule: ribosomal RNA, 460 nt
Filed under: uncultured bacterium
Lineage: Bacteria
Description: SSU rRNA
Rfam family: Bacterial small subunit ribosomal RNA
Source: RNAcentral
AGAAUCAACGCUGGCGGCGUGCCUAACACAUGCAAGUCGAACGAGAAAGGGUAGCAAUACCUGAGUAAAGUGGCGCACGGGUGAGUAACACGUGACUAACCUACCUUUUAGUGGGGGAUAACCUAGGGAAACCUGGGCUAAUACCGCAUAAUACCUACGGGUCAAAGCAGCAAUGCGCUGAAUGAGGGGGUCGCGGUCGAUUAGUUAGUUGGCAGGGUAAUGGCCUACCAAGACUGUGAUCGAUAUCCGGCCUGAGAGGGCGCACGGACACACUGGAACUGAAACACGGUCCAGACUCCUACGGGAGGCAGCAGUGGGGAAUUUUGCGCAAUGGGGGAAACCCUGACGCAGCAACGCCGCGUGGAGGAUGAAGUCCCUUGGGACGUAAACUCCUUUCGAUCGGGACGAUAAUGACGGUACCGGAAGAAGAAGCCCCGGCUAACUUCGCGCCAGCAGCCGC